GAUGAAGAACGUAGUGAAAUGCGAUAAGUAAUGUGAAUAGCAGAAUUCAGUGAAUCAUCGAAUCUUUGAACGCACAUUGCGCCCGCCAGUAUUCUGGCGGGCAUGCCUGUUCGAGCGUCAUUUCAACCAUCAAGCCCCAGGCUUGUGUUGGGGACCUGCGGCUGCCGCAGGCCCUGAAAACCAGUGGCGGGCUCGCUGUCACACCGGGCGUAGUAGAUUUUAUCUCGCUCAGGGCGUGCUGCGGGUUCCGGCCGUUAAAAAGCCUUUUUUACCCAAGGUUGACCUCGGAUCAGGUAGGAAGACCCGCUGAACUUAAGCAUAUCAAUAAGCGGAGGA
RNAcentral lists this unclassified non-coding RNA (336 nucleotides) under soil metagenome. RNAcentral describes it as "partial contains 5.8S ribosomal RNA, internal transcribed spacer 2, and large subunit ribosomal RNA". The stretch from base 1 to 120 matches the Rfam family "5.8S ribosomal RNA", at positions 35 to 154 of the family's 154-position model. The record is from RNAcentral.